AGAGUUUGAUCCUGGCUCAGGAUGAACGCUAGCUACAGGCUUAACACAUGCGAAGUCGAGGGGAAACGACAUCGAAAGCUUGCUUUGAUGGGCGUCGACCGGCGCACGGGUGAGUAACGCGUAUCCAACCUGCCCACCACUUGGGGAUAACCUUGCGAAGUAAGACUAAUACCCAAUGAUAUCUCUAGAAGACAUCUGAAAGAGAUUAAAGAUUCAUCGGUGUAUGGAUGGGGAGUGCGUCUGAUUAGCUUGUUGGCGGGGUAACGGCCCACCAAGGCAACGAUCAGUAGGGGUUCUGAGAGGAAGGUCCCCCACAUUGGAACUGAGACACGGUCCAAACUCCUACGGGAGGCAGCA
Molecule: ribosomal RNA, 357 nt
Filed under: uncultured bacterium
Lineage: Bacteria
Description: bacterial SSU rRNA
Rfam family: Bacterial small subunit ribosomal RNA
Source: RNAcentral